UGGUGAUUCGUAAUUUUAUUAUACAAUACAAGAUAAAGUAACAAAUCUUAACUAUAAAAUUAAACAAAUAAUUCAUCAACAGAUCUCUGAUAAAAAAAUAGAGAUUACAAUGAGGCUGUUUACGGUUUAACACACCUGAAAUAUUGGUACACUCAGAUCCUAUACAAAAACAUUGGGUAUAAUUUAUAGCAUAUAAGUUAAUUCAUAGAUAUGAUAGAGGCAACACAAAAUAAUAUUAGUUUCUCAGACUUCACAAUUAAUGAAAAGAGGUGAGAAAUCCAUGUUCCUCAUUU
RNAcentral lists this long non-coding RNA (293 nucleotides) under Mytilus galloprovincialis (Mediterranean mussel). The record is from RNAcentral. Lineage: Eukaryota; Metazoa; Mollusca; Bivalvia; Mytilida; Mytilidae.